RNAcentral lists this microRNA (22 nucleotides) under Murid gammaherpesvirus 4 (Murine herpesvirus 68). RNAcentral describes it as "mghv-miR-M1-14-5p". Its record names the gene mghv-miR-M1-14-5p. Lineage: Duplodnaviria; Heunggongvirae; Peploviricota; Herviviricetes; Herpesvirales; Orthoherpesviridae. The record is from miRBase by way of RNAcentral.
CCCGUUCUGGAUGCUGUGGGAC